GAUGAACGCUGGCGGCGUGCCUAAUACAUGCAAGUCGAGCGAACGGACGAGAAGCUUGCUUUUCUGAUGUUAGCGGCGGACGGGUGAGUAACACGUGGAUAACCUACCUAUAAGACUGGGAUAACUUCGGGAAACCGGAGCUAAUACCGGAUAAUAUUUUGAACCGCAUGGUUCAAAAGUGAAAGACGGUCUUGCUGUCACUUAUAGAUGGAUCCGCGCUGCAUUAGCUAGUUGGUAAGGUAACGGCUUACCAAGGCAACGAUGCAUAGCCGACCUGAGGGGGUGAUCGGCCACACUGGAACUGAGACACGGUCCAGACUCCUACGGGAGGCAGCAGUAGGGAAUCUUCCGCAAUGGGCGAAAGCCUGACGGAGCAACGCCGCGUGAGUGAUGAAGGUCUUCGGAUCGUAAAACUCUGUUAUUAGGGAAGAACAUAUGUGUAAGUAACUGUGCACAUCUUGACGGUACCUAAUCAGAAAGCCACGGCUAACUACGUG
Molecule: ribosomal RNA, 497 nt
Filed under: uncultured bacterium
Lineage: Bacteria
Description: partial 16S ribosomal RNA
Rfam family: Bacterial small subunit ribosomal RNA
Source: RNAcentral